This 810-nucleotide ribosomal RNA is filed under the name uncultured bacterium. RNAcentral describes it as "bacterial SSU rRNA". It matches the Rfam family "Bacterial small subunit ribosomal RNA", at positions 8 to 796 of the family's 1533-position model. The record is from RNAcentral.
AGAGUUUGAUCAUGGCUCAGAGCGAACGUUAGCGGCGCGCCUAACUCAUGCAAGUCGCACGAGAAAGGGCUUCGGCCCCGGUAAAGUGGCGCACGGGUGCGUAACACGUAGGCAAUCUUCCCUCGGGCGGGGGAUAACGUUUCGAAAGAGACGCUAAUACCGCAUAAGACCACGGUCACCUCGGUGAUCGCGGUCAAAGCUGGCCUCUUCAUGAAAGCUAGCACCUGAGGACGAGCCUGCGGCCCAUCAGCUAGUUGGUAGGGUAAUGGCCUACCAAGGCGAAGACGGGUAGCUGGUCUGAGAGGAUGAUCAGCCACACUGGAACUGAAACACGGUCCAGACUCCUACGGGAGGCAGCAGUGGGGAAUAUUGGACAAUGGGCGCAAGCCUGAUCCAGCGACGCCGCGUGAGUGAUGAAGGCCUUCGGGUUGUAAAGCUCUGUUGAGGGAGAAGAAAACGGCUGGCGUGAAUAACUCCAGUCCUUGACGGUAUCCCUUUAGAAAGCACCGGCUAACUCUGUGCCAGCAGCCGCGGUAAGACAGAGGGUGCAAACGUUGCUCGGAAUUACUGGGCGUAAAGCGCGUGUAGGCCGGCCCUCAAGUCGGACGUGAAAUCCCUGAGCUCAACUCAGGAACUGCAUCCGAAACUGAGGGUCUAGAGUAGUGGAGAGGGAAGCAGAAUUCCUGGUGUAGAGGUGAAAUUCGUAGAUAUCAGGAGGAACACCGGUGGCGAAGGCGGCUUCCUGGCCAUUCACUGACGCUGAGACGCGAAAGCGUGGGGAGCAAACAGGAUUAGAUACCCNNGUAGUCC